CCCUUAGAUGUCCUGGGCCGCACGCGCGUUACACUGAUGCAUUCAACGAGCUUAUAACCUUGGCCGAGAGGCCUGGGCAAUCUUGUUAACGUGCAUCGUGAUAGGGAUAGAUUAUUGAAAUUAUUAAUCUUGAACGAGGAAUUCCUAGUAAACGCAGAUCAUCAAUCUGCAUUGAUACGUCCCUGCCCUUUGUACACACCGCCCGUCGCACCUACCGAUUGGAUGGUCCGGUGAAGCCUCGGGAUUGUGGUUCUUGCCGCUUUAUUGUGGCGUGACCGCGAGAACUUGUCUAAACCUUAUCAUCUAGAGGAAGGUGAAGUCGUAACA
This 327-nucleotide ribosomal RNA is filed under the name uncultured eukaryote. RNAcentral describes it as "partial 18S ribosomal RNA". It matches the Rfam family "Eukaryotic small subunit ribosomal RNA", at positions 1470 to 1796 of the family's 1831-position model. The record is from RNAcentral.